UACGUAGGGGGCGAGCGUUGUCCGAAUUUACUGGGCGUAAAGCGCGUGUAGGCGGCUCUUUAAGUCAGAUGUGAAAUCUUGCGGCUCAACCGCAAAACUGCAUUUGAAACUGGAGAGCUUGAGUUUGGGAGAGGAAAGUGGAAUUCCUGGUGUAGCGGUGAUAUGCGUAGAUAUCAGGAGGAACACCCGUGGCGAAGGCGGCUUUCUGGCCCAAUACUGACGCUGAGACGCGAAAGCUAGGGGAGCGAACGGGAUUAGAUACCCGUCGUA
RNAcentral lists this ribosomal RNA (270 nucleotides) under uncultured prokaryote. RNAcentral's name for it is "partial 16S ribosomal RNA". It matches the Rfam family "Bacterial small subunit ribosomal RNA", at positions 524 to 792 of the family's 1533-position model. The record is from RNAcentral.